RNAcentral lists this ribosomal RNA (401 nucleotides) under uncultured bacterium. RNAcentral's name for it is "bacterial SSU rRNA". It matches the Rfam family "Bacterial small subunit ribosomal RNA", at positions 362 to 757 of the family's 1533-position model. The record is from RNAcentral.
UAUUGCACAAUGGGCGCAAGCCUGAUGCAGCCAUGCCGCGUGUAUGAAGAAGGCCUUCGGGUUGUAAAGUACUUUCAGUUGUGAGGAAGGGUGUGUAGUUAAUAGCUGCACAUCUUGACGUUAGCAACAGAAGAAGCACCGGCUAACUCCGUGCCAGCAGCCGCGGUAAUACGGAGGGUGCGAGCGUUAAUCGGAAUUACUGGGCGUAAAGCGCAUGCAGGUGGUUCAUUAAGUCAGAUGUGAAAGCCCGGGGCUCAACCCCGGAGCUGCAUUUGAAACUGGUGAACUAGAGUACUGUAGAGGGGGGUAGAAUUUCAGGUGUAGCGGUGAAAUGCGUAGAGAUCUGAAGGAAUACCAGUGGCGAAGGCGGCCCCCGGACAGAUACUACACUCAGAUGCGAA